UGAAUGGGCAGCAAUUGGCGGUGGAGCUGGUGGUUACUGGUACUAGGAUUGGGGGUGAUGUGCACAAUAAUUGUAAGCGCCGGUGCUUCUAAAGGGGAAGAGCCUCUCGUCACCAGAAUCGGUUUUGGAUCAUGCGCCAACCAAAGUGCCCCUCAGCCCAUCUGGAAUGCAAUAAUCGACUUUGAUCCCCAACUUUUUAUUUGGCUCGGUG
Molecule: unclassified non-coding RNA, 211 nt
Filed under: Hevea brasiliensis (rubber tree)
Lineage: Eukaryota; Viridiplantae; Streptophyta; Magnoliopsida; Malpighiales; Euphorbiaceae
Source: RNAcentral